This is a long non-coding RNA of Malaclemys terrapin pileata, 3500 nucleotides long. RefSeq lists it as uncharacterized. Lineage: Eukaryota; Metazoa; Chordata; Testudines; Emydidae. The record is from RefSeq and is a predicted model, not a curated record. The transcript has 2 exons.
GACCCACGGUGGGCUAACUCGUCCUGGCAUCGUCCGGCGAGGAGGCUACCUGGGUCUAGGAGUGUGUGAACCCAUCUUCCCUCCCCUUUUCCUCUCCGUGUGAGCCACUGACAGUCUGAUCAUCUCACUGGAUGCAACAGAGUAAGCGGCGCCGUCUCUCUGAGACUAGCCGACGCUCUUUGCUGAAGGGAGGUGUAGGAGGGUCGUGGCCAUCCUCGUUAGUCUCUCCUGUGUGAAUACCCUGUAGGGAGAGAUCCUUAGUUUAUGUGCCGCUAGCGCGGACAGGGCAUCCUCCUCCCUGUGUGUGUGAUUGGAAAAUGGGUGGGGGACAGUCUAAGGAUUCCCUCUCACCCACUAAGGGUACCCCAGCUUAUUUCAUGUACGUACAUUAUGGUACUAAAACCUGCAGGUAUUUAGAGAAUUGGAAUCAUUACACGCGUGAAAAUUCAUCUAAACAAUGCCCACUAGAAGGUACCUUCAAUCUAGAUAAGAUCAUAUAUCUCAGAGGAGCUUUUAAUCACAAAAAAGCCUCUGACACAAAUGGGAGCAAUUUGUCUAUUGAGGAAAGGAACGGGUUAAUUUGAAAUUCAGCUUGGUCCAGAGAUAAAGAGAAAGUUAAUCUGCGUUCAAGGUCAAGAAUCAAUGCAGACCAGACUAAGUAUAAAGAAAAACUGCUUUCGGCCCCAGCUGACUGUGAAAAAAUAUAGACAUAGUCAAACCAAAGGCAAUACAAGUUAAAGUGCUGAGAUUACAUUUGCAAAGCUUAACUGUCCAGUGAGAUCCAACAGUCUGCCUUUGCGACCCUGGAGCUGGCGUGGUUUGGGGAAGCUGAAGAAGCCACAGGUAGCCGGCCUGGACUGGAAUCACUGAAAAGAUGCCCCAGGAGACCUCAGGGUGUAAAAGAACUGCCCUCCCAAGAGAGGAAGCAAGUUGGAGAUUUCACAGCACCUUCUCUGAACGUUAUACACAGACGUGGCCAGUCUGGACGUACGUGUGUGAGUAUGAAAGUGUGUCUACUCUCAGCCGCAGUAAGUCUGAGAACCGGAGAGGGAUUUAGCAUUCCUCUUUCCACCCCGGCUGACCGGGAAGGGUGUCAGGUGGAUCUACCCCAGUCGUAGCAGGACUGGGCAACAGAGAAGUUGGAGAAAAGGGAAGAGUUGUGUACUUGAUAACUAGAAUUGAGCAAUUAAGAGCAUAGAUCAUGAACCAGGCAGCAACUCAAACCUACGCCCAGGGCAAGUUGCAAGCCUUGAGACAGGACUUCCAGGCAGAAAAGGAAGCACUGGCUAAGCAAGUACCGGUCCUUCAGGGACUUGUCAGAAUUUAACCAUUUGUGUUUGCAUAUGCUGUAAGAGCAGUGUGUUUGCCACAAGAGAAAAUUGAAUAGUUAAAUGCCAAUGGGCAAUGCGUUUUGCCCAAGUGGCAAGCCUCACGGGGGAGGACUUGGGUAGCCUUGUGAGUAAGAAGAUAAAGAGAAGAGACCAGGAAGGGUGGGGGCUAGUUAAGAAGCCCACCCUCCUAUCUAAAUUGGUAGUGAAAAAGCUGGUGCCCAUGGAAGGGACGGUUCAGCGAGAAAAGCAGGAUCGGGUCCAAGCGGGCAGGCAAUAGAUAGAGAGAUUGGAGAACAGGUUGGAAACUUUGAGGGCAUAGUGGAAGGAAAGGAGUAAGUAAUUAUAAGCAUGGGGAUUUCAAAUCCCCAGGAUAAUAAUUGAAAUGGUAAAAUGUGUGUAAGACAGAGUCUUUGUACCAAGGUGCAAGGCUCUCCUUUCUUCUGCAGAAUAAAGCAACUCUUCCUUAUCCCUGUCUGGCUGUUAUUGGCUCUCAGCUAGGUGGACCCGAUAUUUUGGUGACAGUUAAUGGCGACUCCGGUUAAUGAAUUUCUGUCUUAUACAUUUAGGUGUUGGGUGUGUGGAUGGAACUGAGCCUCUCAUUCGUAAUUCCUCAGAGUGGAAGCCAUCGCGUGCAAUGAAGCUCUGAGGUUGAAUUGGGAUCCUUCUGUCCCGUCCCCUGUAGCGGUCAGUAUUAGUAGAAAUUCCUGUAAUAGGAUCCUAUUAGGCCAUAAUUCCCUCUGUUCUCUGUGUAAUUCUCUGUUAGAGUGUCAGCAGGCAGAUGGGUGGGUCUCUGGUAAAACUCUCUAAGGAUAGCCCUUUGGAUUAUAUGUUAAGUAAAUGGCCUUUACCCGGUGUUCAGGAAAGAAUAAAGAUUUGAAUUUGUUUUUGGGUAACAAAAUAGCAGAUAAAAGAUCUGGUAAAAAGAGAGAGAAGGACAGUGCCCCUGGCUCUGUGUGGUCGAACUGUCACUUUACUAGGGGUGCAUGGAGAUUUUGUAAGCACAAAAGAAACAGUUACACCUUGUGUAGAAAUUGAUGUGGCUAGUGUUGUGGAAAUUGAAUUGUGGAUAGGAUGUGCAUUUUCCCCAGAACAUGUGCAGUGUAUAUUGUAGCAGAGGUAAAAGAAAUGCAAACCUACCAAUAUAGGUUGUGUCGUCUCUUUCAGAUCACUGGGUGUUUGAAAGCAGGAGUUAGAAGUAAAAGGCAAUCAAAAGUCUGGGAAAGUUAAUUGUGACUUUUUACAUAAGAAUUUUUAAGCUGUGGAUAGCUUUGGAUCUGGAAGCAAGCCAGAAAGCAUCUGUAUUAAUGCAAUUUUCUAACUAAUAAGGUAGAAGCCACUGAAACCUGGGCUGCCUAUGAAACAAAUACAAAGAAAUAUGGGGUAAUUCCUCUGUUUUGUCUAAAAUCAACAAGAGUAUGUGUGUAUAUAAAGGAAAUAUUUUAAGCAAUGACUGACUACCCAGAAGGGGUAGACCUCUGUUCUUUUGUCUUUCAGAUCAUCAGAGAAAACGGAUGCCAGCUGAACAGCAUUCAAUGUACCAUGCAUUUACUGAUAAAAGAAGUGCUACCCAAAGACCCUAGCAGCCCUGCCAUUCAUUGAAACAAGGAGACUGAGUCUACGUAAAGUCUAUCAACGAAAGACUGCUUUGGCUCCACACUGGAAAGGCCCUUUCCAAGUCCUGUUAACCACCACCACCACUGUGAAGUGCCAAGGACUACCUGCCUGGACCCAUGCUUCUCACUGUAAAAAGACCCCUCCACCUCGGGAGGACUCUCCGACUGAUGAUAAGCCUAUUUCUCCUUCUAGCUCUGCUGUGUCUUCUGGACAGCAGGAAAAAGAAAGAAAGAAAAAAAAAAAGACAAGGUGAAGUGCUAGUAACCUCUCCCUUGUCCACUGACAGACCUACUGUGCCUCUGGAUUUUUCUAGAAGAAGCAAAACCAUUACAGGGUGAUGUGCUAGUAACCUCUCCCCUGUAUGAUGCUAAACCACACUGUUUCAGGAAAAGAGAAGAAGGAACACUUGCUUCAUUGAAACCACAAAGUCCAGGGAUUCCUGACUACAAGAGACAUUAAGAACUGACCCUGGUGAAGAAACAAAGAAUUAUACACUGGCAGGAAGAAACUUGUGGGACCCAUGCUUGGGAAUGUGGUAUAGUACUACACCAAAAA